AGAAGGAGGAGUAAGGGAACAUCAACCGACUCAUCACAUUGGAUGAGAGAGGGCAAGGGUGGGCACGGUGAGGGAGAGAGAGUAUAUGUGUGUUAUGAUGCCAUGGCAGAAGUCCGAGGAAGAGACACAGCCAAGACUCGAGAAGGCUAAAGCUCAUGACUCAGUAUCCACAGCCUUUCUUCCAUCAAUGACUCAGUCUCUGAGAAACCCUUAAAGGCCGUCUUAAAGAUACCUUCUGUGUAUCACUGGCAGCCAGGAAAGAAGAUAAAGUGACCUUCACCUCAAGAGGAGUCACAGAACCUGUAAAAAGCUGAGCGUGGCAGCAUGAACCUGUAAUCCCACUGCUGGGAAGCAAACAGAGGAGGAUACCUGAGGCUGGUUAGCCAGCCAGUCCAGGCAAAUUGCUAAGUUCCAUGUUCACACCUAACAAAUAAUGUCUGCUCUAAGUCUUAGUCACAUCAAGCAGAAGAGACGACUUCCUGAUGAGCAUGCGGCUACGCCUUCCACAGCUAUUCGAAACCCUACAUAGCUGAUUCUAUAUCAAAAUUAAAUGGAGCAUCUCUUUAAUAGCCGAAGAACUAUCUUCUCAAAGUUAAUCAUGGAUAGUUUUCCAGCAUAUUAAAAUCGAAUAACCUUAACCCAAACAACCUACAUUUAUAUUGUUUUUGUUUAAACAAAAAAACAGAAUUACUCUGAACCAUCAGUCGCGGUGAGAUAAGCAGCUGAGAUAAGUACCUUUGUUAAUCAGCAGUAACACUUAUCAAUAAACAUUCAGUCCUUGA
Molecule: long non-coding RNA, 782 nt
Organism: Peromyscus maniculatus bairdii (prairie deer mouse)
Lineage: Eukaryota; Metazoa; Chordata; Mammalia; Rodentia; Cricetidae
Source: RefSeq, a predicted model, not a curated record